GACGAACGCUGGCGGCGUGCUUAACACAUGCAAGUCGAACGGAAAGGCCCUGCUCUUGUGGGGUGCUCGAGUGGCGAACGGGUGAGUAACACGUGAGUAACCUGCCCUUGACUUUGGGAUAACUUCAGGAAACUGGGGCUAAUACCGGAUAGGAGCUCCUGCUGCAUGGUGGGGGUUGGAAAGUUUCGGCGGUUGGGGAUGGACUCGCGGCUUAUCCGCUUGUUGGUGGGGUAGGGGCUUACCAAGGCUUUGACGGGUAGCCGGCCUGGGAGGGUGACCGGCCACAUUGGGACUGAGGUACGGCGCAGACUCCUACGGGAGGCAGCAGUGGGGAAUAUUGCACAAUGGGCGGAAGCCUGAUGCAGCAGCGCCGCGUGCGGGAUGACGGCCUUCGGGUUGUAAACCGCUUUCGCCUGUGACGAAGCGUGAGUGACGGUAAUGGGUAAAGAAGCACCGGCUAACUACGUG
RNAcentral lists this ribosomal RNA (468 nucleotides) under uncultured bacterium. Its description in RNAcentral is "partial 16S ribosomal RNA". It matches the Rfam family "Bacterial small subunit ribosomal RNA", at positions 28 to 507 of the family's 1533-position model. The record is from RNAcentral.